GAUCCUGGCUCAGGAUGAACGCUAGCUACAGGCUUAACACAUGCAAGUCGAGGGGCAGCGGGAUUGAAGCUUGCUUCAAUUGCCGGCGACCGGCGCACGGGUGAGUAACGCGUAUCCAACCUUCCGCUUACUCGGGGAUAGCCUUUCGAAAGAAAGAUUAAAUACCCGAUGGUAUCUUAAGCACGCAUGAGAUUAAGAUUAAAGAUUUAUCGGUAAGCGAUGGGGAUGCGUUCCAUUAGGCAGG
RNAcentral lists this ribosomal RNA (244 nucleotides) under uncultured bacterium. RNAcentral describes it as "partial 16S ribosomal RNA". It matches the Rfam family "Bacterial small subunit ribosomal RNA", at positions 15 to 249 of the family's 1533-position model. The record is from RNAcentral.